Drosophila gunungcola (fruit fly) is the source of this 675-nucleotide long non-coding RNA. RefSeq lists it as uncharacterized. The transcript has 3 exons. NCBI's taxonomy places the organism in Eukaryota, Metazoa, Arthropoda, Insecta, Diptera, Drosophilidae. The record is from RefSeq and is a predicted model, not a curated record.
UUCGUUUUACGCUGACUUUCUUACAUAACACAGUCAAUUAUCAGUGACCAAAGUGUGCAGGUCAACGCAGCCAAUCUUUCCUUUGUUUUGACGCAAGCACAAAGUGUUGCGUUCUCUUUGAAAAGGUAUAUCGUAUCAGUGUUAAGCGAGCCACUAAAAGAAGCGUGGGGAAGGUACACUUCAUCACUGGCUACCUUUAACCUGUUGAGGGAUGCGUGGCCCGAGGUCCUGGGACCUUAUUACGAUUUGUGCUCGCAACUUUGCGGCAGGAUUUUGUGGACAAGCAUCCGGUAUGGGGAACUCACUUCCUGCCCGACUAAUCGAUGCAGGAUCAACUGGGGCUUACGGUUAUGACAUCGUUCCCUGCGUCCGCAGCAACCACUUUAUUCCACACCCGGGCAAACACAAUUCGGAUCGAAGUCUGUGGCUCCUGCUUCGCAAAAACCACGGCGAUUUCUUUUCCCCCAUACGCACAAGACGAAGGAAAAUCGGUGGAAUGGCGGUGGCACAUCGAGGUUGCGGGGGCUGUGGCAUGUAGAUUGUGUUUGCCAUUGCUGCAGCUCAAGUGUAAACAUCAUCUGGUGGCAAGGAUGUGGGGACGAGCUUCCCCAUAAAGCCGAGAAUGUCUGCACAGGGGAAAUUUACUUGAGAGCUUGAAAUUUAUAAAAGUUAUAA